Molecule: ribosomal RNA, 1281 nt
Filed under: uncultured bacterium
Lineage: Bacteria
Description: bacterial SSU rRNA
Rfam family: Bacterial small subunit ribosomal RNA
Source: RNAcentral
CCCGCGGCUGAUUAGCUAGUUGGCGGGGUAAAUGCCCACCAAGGCUAUGACGGGUAGCCGGCCUGAGAGGGUGAACGGCCACACUGGGACUGGGACACGGCCCAGACUCCUACGGGAGGCAGCAGUGGGGAAUCUUCCGCAAUGGGCGCAAGCCUGACCGAGCAACGCCGCGUGAAUGAAGAAGGCCUUCGGGUUGUAAAGUUCUGUCAAUUGGGAAGAAACCUCCAAGGUAAAUAGUCUUGGAGAUGACGGUACCUAAAAAGGAAGCUCCGGCUAACUACGUGCCAGCAGCCGCGGUAAUACGUAGGGAGCAAGCGUUAUCCGGAAUUACUGGGCGUAAAGGGCGUGUAGGCGGGAAUUUAAGUCAUAUGUGUAAACUGCAGGCUUAACCUGGAGAUUGCAUCUGAAACUGGACAACUUGAGUGCAGGAGAGGAAAGUGGAAUUCCUAGUGUAGCGGUGAAAUGCGUAGAUAUUAGGAGGAACACCAGUGGCGAAGGCGGCUUUCUGGACUGUAACUGACGCUGAGGCGCGAAAGCGUGGGGAGCAAACAGGAUUAGAUACCCUGGUAGUCCACGCCGUAAACGAUGAGUACUAGGUGUAGGGGGUAUCGACCCCUUCUGUGCUGCAGUUAACGCAAUAAGUAAUCCGCCUGGGGAGUAUGCACGCAAGUGUGAAACUCAAAGGAAUUGACGGGGGCCCGCACAAGCGGUGGAGUAUGUGGUUUAAUUCGAAGCAACGCGAAGAACCUUACCAAGGCUUGACAUGCAGAGAACCUGGAAACAUGGUCUUGCAAGUUUACUUGCACACGGAGACAGGUGGUGCAUGGUUGUCGUCAGCUCGUGUCGUGAGAUGUUGGGUUAAGUCCCGCAACGAGCGCAACCCCUACAGCUAGUUGCCAGCACAUAAAGGGGGACUCUAGCAGAACUGCCGUUGACAAAACGGAGGAAGGUGGGGAUGACGUCAAAUCAUCAUGCCCCUUAUGACUUGGGCUACACACGUACUACAAUGGCGUAUACAGAGAGACGCGAAGUGGCGACAUGGAGCAAACCUCACAAAGUACGUCUCAGUUCAGAUUGAAGUCUGCAACUCGACUUCAUGAAGGCGGAAUCGCUAGUAAUCGCGGAUCAGCAUGCCGCGGUGAAUACGUUCUCGGGCCUUGUACACACCGCCCGUCAAACCACGAAAGUCGGCAACACCCGAAGCCGGUGACUCAACCCGAAAGGGAGAGAGCCGUCGAAGGUGGGGUUGGUAAUUGGGGUGAAGUCGUAACAAGGUAACCA